CUGCGGGCUGCUACCAUGCAGUCGAUCGGCAGCAUGAGUAGGGGUAACCUUACUUGAUGGCGAGUGGCGGACGGGUGAGGAAUAUGUAGGAAUCUACCUAGAGGAGGGGGAUAACUUGGGGAAACCCACCCUAAUACCACAUAAGCCCUACGGGGGAAAGCAGGGGAUCGAAAGACCUUGCGCCUUAUGAUGAGCCUUUUCGGAUUGGCUAGUUGGUGGGGUAAAGGCCUACCGAUGCGACGAUCCGUAGCUGGUCUGAUAGGAUGAUCAGCCACACUGGGACUGACACACGGCCCACACUCCUACGGGAGGCAGCAUUGGGGAAUAUGGGACAAUGCGCGAUCCCCUGAUCCCGCAAUGCCGCGUGUGGGAAGAAGGCCUUAAGGUUGUAAAGCACUUUCCGUAGGGAGGAAGGUUGUAAUGCUAAUAUCAUUGCUUAUUGACGUUACCUACCAAAGAAGCACCGGCUAACUCUGUGCCCGCAGCCGCGGAAAUACAGAGGGUGCUACCGUUAUUCUGAAUUACUGGGCCUAAAGCGUGUGUUGGUGGUUAGAUAAGUUAGAUGUGAAAUCCCCGGGCUUAACCUGGGCAUUGCCUUUCUUACUGUUUAACUGGAGUACUGUAUAGGAUAGCGGAAUUUCCAGUGAAAUGCUGAAAUGCCUAAAUAUUGGAAGGAACACCAGUGGACAUCGCGACUAUCUGGACACAUACUGACGCUGAGACACGAAAGCCUGAGGAGCUUACAUGAUUAGAUACUCUGCUAGUCCAUGCUGUACACUAUGAUGACUUGCUGUUGGAUGCAUAGGGGCCUUAACUAACGAAUCUAACGCGUUAACUGCUCCGCCUGGGGGAGUACGGCCACAAGGCUAAGACUCGAAGGAAUCGACGG
RNAcentral lists this ribosomal RNA (889 nucleotides) under uncultured Gammaproteobacteria bacterium. RNAcentral describes it as "bacterial SSU rRNA". It matches the Rfam family "Bacterial small subunit ribosomal RNA", at positions 37 to 916 of the family's 1533-position model. The record is from RNAcentral. Lineage: Bacteria; Pseudomonadati; Pseudomonadota; Gammaproteobacteria.